UACGUAGGGUGCGAGCGUUGUCCGGAAUUAUUGGGCGUAAAGGGCUCGUAGGCGGUCUGUCGCGUCGGGAGUGAAAACUCAGGGCUUAACCCUGAGCCUGCUUCCGAUACGGGCAGACUAGAGGUAUGCAGGGGAGAACGGAAUUCCUGGUGUAGCGGUGGAAUACGCAGAUAUCAGGAGGAACACCGGUGGCGAAGGCGGUUCUCUGGGCAUUACCUGACGCUGAGGAGCGAAAGUGUGGGGAGCGAACAGG
RNAcentral lists this ribosomal RNA (253 nucleotides) under uncultured bacterium. RNAcentral describes it as "partial 16S ribosomal RNA". It matches the Rfam family "Bacterial small subunit ribosomal RNA", at positions 524 to 776 of the family's 1533-position model. The record is from RNAcentral.